RNAcentral lists this ribosomal RNA (255 nucleotides) under uncultured bacterium. RNAcentral's name for it is "partial 16S ribosomal RNA". It matches the Rfam family "Bacterial small subunit ribosomal RNA", at positions 524 to 776 of the family's 1533-position model. The record is from RNAcentral.
UACGUAGGGUGCAAGCGUUAAUCGGAAUUACUGGGCGUAAAGCGUGCGCAGGCGGUUGUGCAAGACCGAUGUGAAAUCCCCCGGGCUUAACCUGGGAAUGGCAUUGGUGACUGCACGGCUAGAGUGUGUCAGAGGGGGGGUAGAAUUCCACGUGUAGCAGUGAAAUGCGUAGAGAUGUGGAGGAAUACCGAUGGCGAAGGCAGCCCCCUGGGAUAACACUGACGCUCAUGCACGAAAGCGUGGGGAGCAAACAGG